This 465-nucleotide ribosomal RNA is filed under the name uncultured Klebsiella sp. RNAcentral's name for it is "bacterial SSU rRNA". It matches the Rfam family "Bacterial small subunit ribosomal RNA", at positions 338 to 795 of the family's 1533-position model. The record is from RNAcentral. Lineage: Bacteria; Pseudomonadati; Pseudomonadota; Gammaproteobacteria; Enterobacterales; Enterobacteriaceae.
CCUACGGGUGGCUGCAGUGGGGAAUAUUGCACAAUGGGCGCAAGCCUGAUGCAGCCAUGCCGCGUGUGUGAAGAAGGCCUUCGGGUUGUAAAGCACUUUCAGCGGGGAGGAAGGCGGUGAGGUUAAUAACCUCAUCGAUUGACGUUACCCGCAGAAGAAGCACCGGCUAACUCCGUGCCAGCAGCCGCGGUAAUACGGAGGGUGCAAGCGUUAAUCGGAAUUACUGGGCGUAAAGCGCACGCAGGCGGUCUGUCAAGUCGGAUGUGAAAUCCCCGGGCUCAACCUGGGAACUGCAUUCGAAGCUGGCAGGCUAGAGUCUUGUAGAGGGGGGUAGAAUUCCAGGUGUAGCGGUGAAAUGCGUAGAGAUCUGGAGGAAUACCGGUGGCGAAGGCGGCCCCCUGGACAAAGACUGACGCUCAGGUGCGAAAGCGUGGGGAGCAAACAGGAUUAGAUACCCCAGUAGUC